UAGUAGUUCACAACGCAUUGUGUCACAGC
Molecule: small RNA, 29 nt
Filed under: Bombyx mori (domestic silkworm)
Lineage: Eukaryota; Metazoa; Arthropoda; Insecta; Lepidoptera; Bombycidae
Description: ovarian small RNA-22927
Source: RNAcentral